Molecule: ribosomal RNA, 253 nt
Filed under: uncultured bacterium
Lineage: Bacteria
Description: partial 16S ribosomal RNA
Rfam family: Bacterial small subunit ribosomal RNA
Source: RNAcentral
GACAGAGGUGCCGAGCGUUAGGCGGAAUCACUGGGCUUAAAGCGUGUGUAGGCGGAUGGGUAAGUACCUUGUGAAAUCCCACGGCUCAACCGUGGAACUGCUCGGUAUACUGCUCGUCUUGAGCCAACUAGGGGCGACCGGAACAAACGGUGGAGCGGUGAAAUGCGUAGAUAUCGUUUGGAACGCCGAUGGUGAAAACAGGUCGCUGGGAGUGUGCUGACGCUGAGACACGAAAGCCAGGGGAGCAAACGGG